GUUAGGGUAAUGUGUGGAAAGAGCAAUACGUAAAAAUAUCUUUUCAGCAGGAACGCCACCCACCCACCCUGGAGCCCUACAAAGGGGCGCUGUAGGACCUGUAAACACAGGUACCACAAACGCCCGCUGCACGUUCCAACUAUAAUCAAAUACGUAAAACCAAGGGUAGUUAUGAAACGCAAGGUUGACCCUUGCCGCCAGGAAUCCUUGAAAUAAGUGGAAGAGACAAGAAGACAAGAAAGAUUGAAAGUUAGAGAGAAAGGUGAAGGUUAGAGAGGACAGGAAAAGGCGACUGCCGAUUUACUCCAGGUUGGUCAGUCUGGAGGCCUCGUCUGUGUGAAGCAGAGGCCAAAGAGGUGUGCUGCUUCUGCCAGGGUGCCUUAAAGGACCAAACACCCGGCAUCGGCUCAACCCCAAGGAUUCCCCUUUCCCUAGGCACGGUCAAGCCGUGCACGGCUAGACGCGGGAGGCUGCAACCCUUGUUUCCUCGGUUGGGCAGCGUGGGCCUCAGGCGUCUGACCCGUACUAUGACCACGAGCUGCCUCGGCGAGCUUGGUCCUCGAACUCUGCUUUUGUGAGAAGCUUCUUGGGGCGACGUAUCGAGGUGGGAAACCACCCUGUAAUGUGAGGUAAAGGCCCUACGCCGUUGCAAGGGGCUCUGCUACGACUCGCCUUUGUGACAAACAAUUCGUGUCAUGUGGUCUGGGCAUCGACGACAACAGCAGCUCCAGCGCCUACGCUUUAUUCUCAAUAGCGGGUGGCACAUUCCCAUUGGCGCAUACAUAGCGCACGUCGGCGUCAAAGACGUUCAUUAAAGACCAACGCAGAACAAGUGGCACAUACCCAAUGUUCCAGGUCGGCGUGAAAGAGCAUCUUCGGACAGCGGUGCCUACAGAGUGCCGUUUUUACAGUGACCCAUGUCGGUGUGAAAGAGGCUCCGUGAAGAGCAGCAGGUAUGUUCCCAACGCGCGACAAGACGCUGAGUGAUUCAAGCUGGUUCGAUGAAUGGUUUUGAACAUCUUUACCUAAGCACAGCAGCACUAUGCGCUUUCCAUUCCACCACGAACUACCAAGUCACCCAGGUAGGCUAUACAACAGUUAGAUACAAAGAUACGUGGA
Non-coding RNA from Dermacentor andersoni, 1119 nucleotides. Lineage: Eukaryota; Metazoa; Arthropoda; Arachnida; Ixodida; Ixodidae. The record is from RefSeq and is a predicted model, not a curated record.